This 221-nucleotide ribosomal RNA is filed under the name uncultured bacterium. Its description in RNAcentral is "partial 16S ribosomal RNA". It matches the Rfam family "Bacterial small subunit ribosomal RNA", at positions 96 to 334 of the family's 1533-position model. The record is from RNAcentral.
UGGCAAACGGGUGCGGAACACGUGGGAAUCUACCCAAAAGUAUGGAACAACAGUGGAAACGACUGCUAAUACCAUAUACGCUCGAAAGAGGAAAGAUUUAUCGCUUUUGGAUGAGCCCGCGUAAGAUUAGCUAGUAGGUGAGGUAAUGGCUCUACCUAGGCAACGAUCUUUAGCUGGUCUGAGAGGACGAUCAGCCACACUGGGACUGAGAUACGGCCCAG